Rhamnusium bicolor is the source of this 75-nucleotide non-coding RNA. Lineage: Eukaryota; Metazoa; Arthropoda; Insecta; Coleoptera; Cerambycidae. The record is from the annotation of a GenBank genome assembly.
GGCUUCGUGGUCGAGUAGUAAGGACAUUUGUCUCUUAUCCAGGAGUUCCGGGUUCGAUUCUCGGUCAAGGAGCUA